UUCCUAUCUUCCUCUUCGUCCUCGCUAUGUUC
Molecule: small RNA, 32 nt
Filed under: Arabidopsis thaliana (thale cress)
Lineage: Eukaryota; Viridiplantae; Streptophyta; Magnoliopsida; Brassicales; Brassicaceae
Description: ATSL012730
Source: RNAcentral